This 1003-nucleotide long non-coding RNA is filed under the name Homarus americanus (American lobster). RNAcentral describes it as "uncharacterized LOC121862795, transcript variant X2". The record is from RNAcentral. Lineage: Eukaryota; Metazoa; Arthropoda; Malacostraca; Decapoda; Nephropidae.
GUUAUUCGGUUCUCCAGCCAUUGACUUAAGUUUAGUUUAAUAUUAAUUUAUAUCUAUUAGCGGGAGUUUAGUCAAUAAUAGAACAUUAAGUAAUGUAUAAUUUAUUUAUAUUAUGUAAAAUGUAUAAAUAAAAUACUUUAUUAUAGUGUUAAUAAUGAAAACUUGUAGUUACUGAAAGAUAAGAGAGAGAAUCGGACAAGGUGUAGCGUGUCAACAUCAACCAAGUGUACGGCUCCAAUUGGUUGUUGCUGUAGUGUUAAGACAACUACCAUAUUGCUGCCUCGCUGAUCGUGGUUAAUGAAGUUCCUCAUGUCAUUCGUCGAGGACGGUGACGUGGAGAUGUAAGAUAUGGGCCACAAGACGAAGGUUUGUUUUGGUUAACGGGUCUCUUGCUGCACCACAUUGGAAACUUUCUGUUAUAACAUAAGGUACAGUACAGUGUAUAUCUUUGUGGUUUUAGUUUUUAUUAAGGAUCUGGGAUCACCGUUUAAAAAUUCAAGUAAUUGUGUUAAUGACCUUUGAAAUAAUUAGAUAUUUUAAGUAGAUUACGCUGUGCCCGUAAGUUUUAAAAAGCCUUUAUGGAUGGUCUUAAAUAUGUUGACCAUCUUUACUGUAUGAAGUUAGUUUCACGUCAAAAUAUUUGUCAAAUAUGCCUGACCUAAUACCUUUGUCUUUAGCACUUGUGGUAAAAAAAUAGUUUAAAUAUCCUACAAAGGUACAGGGUACUACUUUACCUGAUUUUAAAUCUAGUUUCACAAAUUAGUUUUUGUGUUAAUGACUUUUUGAAACAAUUAGAUAUCUAAAGUAGAUUACUUAGGAUUUGCCCGUAUUUUUUAAAAGGCCUUCAUAUACGUUUUAUAAAUAAUAUAGACUAUUGGGGUGUCGACUGCAUGGAAAAGCCAGGAAACUUUACAAACAAAUGGGGUAUUAUAUUUGGGUCAAAUUAUACAGUGACCCCUCGUUUAACGAACUGAAUCCGUUCCAGAAGGUCGUUCGUUAACCA